This 965-nucleotide ribosomal RNA is filed under the name uncultured Mycoplasma sp. RNAcentral describes it as "bacterial SSU rRNA". It matches the Rfam family "Bacterial small subunit ribosomal RNA", at positions 68 to 1034 of the family's 1533-position model. The record is from RNAcentral. Lineage: Bacteria; Bacillati; Mycoplasmatota; Mollicutes; Mycoplasmatales; Mycoplasmataceae.
GGCUAACGGAGUCUUCGUGACUAGCGGCGAAUGGGUGAGUAACACGUGCUUAAUCUACCUUUUAGAUUGGGAUACCCAAUGGAAACAUUGGUUAAUACCGGAUACGCAGAGAAUCGCAUGAUUCUUUUGUGAAAGGAGCCUUAAAGCUCCACUAGAAGAUGAGGGUGCGGAACAUUAGUUAGUUGGKGAGGUAAUGGCUCACCAAGACUAUGAUGUUUAGCCGGGUCGAGAGACUGAACGGCCACAUUGGGACUGAGAUACGGCCCAAACUCCUACGGGAGGCAGCAGUAGGGAAUAUUCCACAAUGAGCGAAAGCUUGAUGGAGCGACACAGCGUGCACGAUGACGGUCUUCGGAUUGUAAAGUGCUGUUAUAAGGAAAGAAYACUUCAAUGAGGAAAUGCUUUGAAGCUGACGGUACCUUAUCAGAAAGCGAUGGCUAACUAUGUGCCAGCAGCCGCGGUAAUACAUAGGUCGCAAGCGUUAUCCGGAAUUAUUGGGCGUAAAGCGUUCGUAGGUUGUUUAUUAAGUCUGAAGUCAAAUCCCAGGGCUCAACCCUGGCUCGCUUUGGAUACUGGUAAACUAGAGUUAGAUAGAGGUAAGCGGAAUUCCAUGUGAAGCGGUGAAAUGCGUAGAUAUAUGGAAGAACACCAAAGGCGAAGGCAGCUUACUGGGUCUAUACUGACACUGAGGGACGAAAGCGUGGGGAGCAAACAGGAUUAGAUACCCUGGUAGUCCACGCCGUAAACGAUGAUCAUUAGUCGGUGGAGAAUCACUGACGCAGCUAACGCAUUAAAUGAUCCGCCUGAGUAGUAUGCUCGCAAGAGUGAAACUUAAAGGAAUUGACGGGGACCCGCACAAGCGGUGGAGCAUGUGGUUUAAUUUGAAGAUACACGGAGAACCUUACCCACUCUUGACAUCCUUCGCAAAGCUAUAGAGAUAUAGUGGAGGUUAACAGAGUGAAGAA